RNAcentral lists this ribosomal RNA (2923 nucleotides) under Klebsiella pneumoniae. RNAcentral describes it as "bacterial LSU rRNA". It matches the Rfam family "Bacterial large subunit ribosomal RNA". The record is from RNAcentral. Lineage: Bacteria; Pseudomonadati; Pseudomonadota; Gammaproteobacteria; Enterobacterales; Enterobacteriaceae.
GGGUUGUGAGGUUAAGCGACUAAGCGUACACGGUGGAUGCCCUGGCAGUCAGAGGCGAUGAAGGACGUGCUAAUCUGCGAAAAGCGUCGGUAAGGUGAUAUGAACCGUUAUAGCCGGCGAUGUCCGAAUGGGGAAACCCAGUGUGAUUCGUCACACUAUCGUUAACUGAAUACAUAGGUUAACGAGGCGAACCGGGGGAACUGAAACAUCUAAGUACCCCGAGGAAAAGAAAUCAACCGAGAUUCCCCCAGUAGCGGCGAGCGAACGGGGAGCAGCCCAGAGUUUGAAUCAGCUUGUGUGUUAGUGGAACGGUCUGGAAAGUCCGACGGUACAGGGUGAUAGUCCCGUACACCAAAAUGCACAGGCUGUGAACUCGAAGAGUAGGGCGGGACACGUGGUAUCCUGUCUGAAUAUGGGGGGACCAUCCUCCAAGGCUAAAUACUCCUGACUGACCGAUAGUGAACCAGUACCGUGAGGGAAAGGCGAAAAGAACCCCGGCGAGGGGAGUGAAAAAGAACCUGAAACCGUGUACGUACAAGCAGUGGGAGCACCUUCGGGUGUGACUGCGUACCUUUUGUAUAAUGGGUCAGCGACUUAUAUUCUGUAGCAAGGUUAACCGUAUAGGGGAGCCGCAGGGAAACCGAGUCUUAACUGGGCGUUAAGUUGCAGGGUAUAGACCCGAAACCCGGUGAUCUAGCCAUGGGCAGGUUGAAGGUUGGGUAACACUAACUGGAGGACCGAACCGACUAAUGUUGAAAAAUUAGCGGAUGACUUGUGGCUGGGGGUGAAAGGCCAAUCAAACCGGGAGAUAGCUGGUUCUCCCCGAAAGCUAUUUAGGUAGCGCCUCGUGAAUUCAUCUUCGGGGGUAGAGCACUGUUUCGGCUAGGGGGUCAUCCCGACUUACCAACCCGAUGCAAACUACGAAUACCGAAGAAUGUUAUCACGGGAGACACACGGCGGGUGCUAACGUCCGUCGUGAAGAGGGAAACAACCCAGACCGCCAGCUAAGGUCCCAAAGUCAUGGUUAAGUGGGAAACGAUGUGGGAAGGCACAGACAGCCAGGAUGUUGGCUUAGAAGCAGCCAUCAUUUAAAGAAAGCGUAAUAGCUCACUGGUCGAGUCGGCCUGCGCGGAAGAUGUAACGGGGCUAAACCAUGCACCGAAGCUGCGGCAGCGACACUAUGUGUUGUUGGGUAGGGGAGCGUUCUGUAAGCCUGCGAAGGUGUGCUGUGAGGCAUGCUGGAGGUAUCAGAAGUGCGAAUGCUGACAUAAGUAACGAUAAAGCGGGUGAAAAGCCCGCUCGCCGGAAGACCAAGGGUUCCUGUCCAACGUUAAUCGGGGCAGGGUGAGUCGACCCCUAAGGCGAGGCCGAAAGGCGUAGUCGAUGGGAAACAGGUUAAUAUUCCUGUACUUGGUGUUACUGCGAAGGGGGGACGGAGAAGGCUAUGUUAGCCGGGCGACGGUUGUCCCGGUUUAAGCAUGUAGGCUGGUUGUCCAGGCAAAUCCGGAUAAUCAAGGCUGAGGUGUGAUGACGAGGCACUACGGUGCUGAAGUAACAAAUGCCCUGCUUCCAGGAAAAGCCUCUAAGCAUCAGGUAACAUCAAAUCGUACCCCAAACCGACACAGGUGGUCAGGUAGAGAAUACCAAGGCGCUUGAGAGAACUCGGGUGAAGGAACUAGGCAAAAUGGUGCCGUAACUUCGGGAGAAGGCACGCUGGUGUGUAGGUGAAGUCCCUGCGGAUGGAGCUGAGACCAGUCGAAGAUACCAGCUGGCUGCAACUGUUUAUUAAAAACACAGCACUGUGCAAACACGAAAGUGGACGUAUACGGUGUGACGCCUGCCCGGUGCCGGAAGGUUAAUUGAUGGGGUUAUCCGUAAGGAGAAGCUCUUGAUCGAAGCCCCGGUAAACGGCGGCCGUAACUAUAACGGUCCUAAGGUAGCGAAAUUCCUUGUCGGGUAAGUUCCGACCUGCACGAAUGGCGUAAUGAUGGCCAGGCUGUCUCCACCCGAGACUCAGUGAAAUUGAACUCGCUGUGAAGAUGCAGUGUACCCGCGGCAAGACGGAAAGACCCCGUGAACCUUUACUAUAGCUUGACACUGAACAUUGAGCCUUGAUGUGUAGGAUAGGUGGGAGGCUUUGAAGCGUGGACGCCAGUCUGCGUGGAGCCAACCUUGAAAUACCACCCUUUAAUGUUUGAUGUUCUAACGUUGGCCCCUUACCGGGGUUGCGGACAGUGUCUGGUGGGUAGUUUGACUGGGGCGGUCUCCUCCCAAAGCGUAACGGAGGAGCACGAAGGUUAGCUAAUCCUGGUCGGACAUCAGGAGGUUAGUGCAAUGGCAUAAGCUAGCUUGACUGCGAGCGUGACGGCGCGAGCAGGUGCGAAAGCAGGUCAUAGUGAUCCGGUGGUUCUGAAUGGAAGGGCCAUCGCUCAACGGAUAAAAGGUACUCCGGGGAUAACAGGCUGAUACCGCCCAAGAGUUCAUAUCGACGGCGGUGUUUGGCACCUCGAUGUCGGCUCAUCACAUCCUGGGGCUGAAGUAGGUCCCAAGGGUAUGGCUGUUCGCCAUUUAAAGUGGUACGCGAGCUGGGUUUAGAACGUCGUGAGACAGUUCGGUCCCUAUCUGCCGUGGGCGCUGGAGAAUUGAGGGGGGCUGCUCCUAGUACGAGAGGACCGGAGUGGACGCAUCACUGGUGUUCGGGUUGUCAUGCCAAUGGCACUGCCCGGUAGCUAAAUGCGGAAGAGAUAAGUGCUGAAAGCAUCUAAGCACGAAACUUGCCCCGAGAUGAGUUCUCCCUGAGACUUUAAGUCUCCUGAAGGAACGUUGAAGACGACGACGUUGAUAGGCCGGGUGUGUAAGCGCAGCGAUGCGUUGAGCUAACCGGUACUAAUGAACCGUGAGGCUUAACCUUACAACGCCGAAG